ACAUCGGUAGCACAGUGGUUAGUGCAAUCUGCUGGAAACAGAAAGCCGCGGGUUCCUUUCCCGUCCAAUGUC
RNAcentral lists this transfer RNA (72 nucleotides) under Nippostrongylus brasiliensis. It matches the Rfam family "tRNA". Rfam says of the family: Transfer RNA (tRNA) molecules are approximately 80 nucleotides in length. Their secondary structure includes four short double-helical elements and three loops (D, anti-codon, and T loops). Lineage: Eukaryota; Metazoa; Nematoda; Chromadorea; Rhabditida; Heligmosomidae. The record is from Rfam by way of RNAcentral.